This 793-nucleotide ribosomal RNA is filed under the name uncultured archaeon. Its description in RNAcentral is "bacterial SSU rRNA". It matches the Rfam family "Archaeal small subunit ribosomal RNA", at positions 85 to 879 of the family's 1478-position model. The record is from RNAcentral.
ACGGCUCAGUAACACGUGGACAACCUGCCCUUAGGUUGGGUAUAAACCCGGGAAACUGGGUAUAAUACCCGAUAGGUCUCGAUUGCUGGAAUGCAUCGAGAUUUAAAGCUCCGGCGCCUAAGGAUGGGUCUGCGGCCUAUCAGGUAGUAGUGGGUGUAGCGUACCUACUAGCCUACGACGGGUACGGGUUGUGAGAGCAAGAGCCCGGAGAUGGAUUCUGAGACACGAAUCCAGGCCCUACGGGGUGCAGCAGGCGCGAAAACUUUACAAUGCUGGCAACAGCGAUAAGGGAACCUCGAGUGCCAGGUUACAAAUCUGGCUGUCGAGAUGCCUAAAAAGCAUUUCAUAGCAAGGGCCGGGCAAGACCGGUGCCAGCCGCCGCGGUAACACCGGCGGCUCGAGUGGUAACCGUUAUUAUUGGGUCUAAAGGGUCUGUAGCCGGCCGGAUAAGUCUCUUGAGAAAUCUGGCAGCUUAACUGUCAGGCUUUCAGGAGAUACUGUCUGGCUCGAGGCCGGGAGAGGUGAGAGGUACUUCAGGGGUAGGGGUGAAAUCUUGUAAUCCUUGAAGGACCACCAGUGGCGAAGGCGUCUCACCAGAACGGACCUGACGGCAAGGGACGAAAGCUAGGGGCACGAACCGGAUUAGAUACCCGGGUAGUCCUAGCCGUAAACGAUACUCGCUAGGUGUCGGCCACGGCGCGACCGUUGUCGGUGCCGUAGGGAAGCCGUGAAGCGAGCCACCUGGGAAGUACGGCCGCAAGGCUGAAACUUAAAGGAAUUGGCGGGGGAGCAC